Long non-coding RNA from Sciurus carolinensis (gray squirrel), 2733 nucleotides. RefSeq lists it as uncharacterized. The transcript is spliced from 3 exons. NCBI's taxonomy places the organism in Eukaryota, Metazoa, Chordata, Mammalia, Rodentia, Sciuridae. The record is from RefSeq and is a predicted model, not a curated record.
GGAGGCUGCGGAGGUGGGGGAGACCGGCAGGCACCUGCCCCGACUGUGCCUGUGACAAGCCCCUCCUCCGGCAGCAAUAAACGCACGGCUGGGCCUUGGCGGCCUCCUCUGGCCCGGUGACAGUCUCACGCCUCCGGGGCGCUGGCUCGUCAGGCAGCCGCUGGGGGUACUCGGCAGGAGCCUCAAAUGCCACCUACUCCCCGGCCUCUCUCCCAGUUGAUGCUGCUAUUUUAGGCACCACAUUAUUUCCUGCUGUGAUUUUUUCAGCCUUCUAAUUCGGGCUCUGAGCAUGGUUCCCUCUUAAGCUGGAAAACAGUUGGAAUGUGGCAUUGCCUGGAACGUGUGGAAGCUGACUACCAUGAUACAACAAGGACUCCUUCCUGGGGAAAAAGGCAAAGGCUUUGGACCCCAACAGAUCUUGGUUUGAAUCUAGACUCCUCCACUUCCUAGCCCUGUGGCUUUAGACAAACUGACUUUACCUUUCUGAUGUGGUGAAGCAGAAACGGCCCCAACUUGAAGAGGAGGUUUGAACCCAAUCUCCCAACUGCAAGAUCCAUUCAGACUUCUUUCUCCUCCCUCUGAUGAAGAUAAAAGAAUGCUUCUCUCUUGGGGUUAAGAGGACUAAAUGAAGUAAUCUAUGUAAAAAAUAUGGUACCUGCCAAGAACUUGUUCGUGUACUCUAUAAAUGUAUGUUGCUAAGAGUCCAGCAGUGAUAAACACAAUGGAAUCCUUGCCCUUGUGUAACUUAUACUCCAUCCAGAAAGAUGGAAAAUAAAUGACACACAACACAGGCAGACAUACUUACAAAGAGCUGCAAAUUCUAGAAGGGUGAUGGAGAGUGACAGGAGAGGUAGGGCACCCUACCAUAAAUAAUACGGUCAGGAAAAUGACAUUUAAACUGAGACACUGAAGGAGGGAGGGAGGGGUCAACAAUCUAGGCAGUGGGAACAGCAGGAACAAAGGCACAGGGGACAGGGGGCAAGAGGUAGGUGCACGUAAGGAACUGUUAACCACCUCUUCUGCUAACCCACCUUGUAACUCCUUGUAUGUACUUCAAGAGACAGGGCAGCACAGCACUUAGUAGGGACUGGACUCCCAGGAAGUGUAUGAUGAAUGAACAAGAGAAUGGCUGAGCUCUCGUUCCAAUGUUUGCCCAUGAAGAGAUCCCCCUCUUCCAGCCCUUUAACCUUCUGAUGUGGAAGGAAGGAGCCUUCUGAACUGGCAGUCCACAGUUCUUUCCUCGGCGCAAUUUGCCUAGAGCUCAGAGCUAGAGGGUCCCCCCAAAACCCACCCUUCCUGUUAAAGGGAAGAAGCAGAGGCCAAGACUCAGGACAGCUUUGUUGAAGCCCCUGGACCUGGUGGGGCCCAUGUCUAGUGCUUUCCCCAGGCCAGAGCCUGUCUUGUUUAUUUGUUCAGCAGGUUUAUUUCAGCCAUGGCACAGCCUGUUCUGACGCUGGAACAUUUCUGAGAUGAGCCAAUUUUUUAAAAUCAUAGAAAAUAAAUGGUUUGCUCUUGGAACUAAGGGGUGGGGCAGCCAGAAUGGGAGACAGGUUUCAAGGCCAGCUCUGGGGCAGAAUUUUGGUUUACCCUUUGCUAUAUUCUUUUCCCCUUCUGCCCUUGAGAACCAAAGGGACUUCAAUGGGAUUUCCUGCCUCCAUUUCUCAAGACGAUGAUUAGAAAAACUGGAACAUUUAACCAUAAGAUUUCCGGUUCUCAUCUCCACCCUCAUCAGUUCUAUUCUAAACUCUGGUUUCUAAACCAUCAAGCUCAGAGCUGGGAAUGUAGUUCAGUAGCAGAGCCUUUGCCUAGCAUGUGCAAAGCUUUGGGUUUGAUCGCCAGUACAAAAUACACAGAAUGUUCAAAGCCACUGAACUCAAGACAUAGCCCAACACAACCCAUCAAUCUUGGGACAGGUUUUGGGACUAGCACCUGGAUCAUUCUGUUCCCUCUGCCUGUAGGAUUACAUAUGUACCCCCGCACUAAGCCUGGCUUGCCACCUACUUUUUUAAAUAGCUGGCAAGUUCAGUGAAGACAAACAGAACAGUUAAAAUUGCUUUGCUUUCUGACUGGAUAUUAACUAAGUGUAGUAAUAUCAGUCAUUAGCUUGUAUUGAUCUGAAACAUUUAUUUGUAGUUAUGUAAAUAUUUGAUUACCCAAAACCUGGAAAUUAAUAAUUAAUAAAACAAAAUUAUCCGGCCAACAAAAUUAUUUAAACCUUAAUUAAGCCCAGAGUAACAGAUGGGGUGGGAUAAAGGGAUCCUGGUGGUAAAAAAGGCGACUCCAAAGUUCUGCCUGGCCUUUUGCCUGCCUUGUUUCCCCAACAGGGCUGGUACAUAGUAAGUACUUUCAAAAUACUCACUGAGUGUGCGAGUGCAUGAGGAUGAUGGUGCUCCUGGGGCACUGAAGCCUUGUGAACCCUAGUUGGCUAUCCCAUAAGGACCAAGCUAAGAACCAAUUUGGCAGCUGUCCCAGCCCCAGGCUCUUUCUCCCUAAUGGGGCAACAUGCCCAUUCUUAGCACUCAACUCAGGAGUAUUAAGAUCGAUGAGAAUGUGGGAAUAGACCAUAUGUACUGGAGCCCCUCCAAGGGGCAGGGGCAGCCCAGAUUCUGAUGCCCCUCUGGUGCCCUCUGCCCCUUUGCUCAAAGAAACUCUCAAGAAGCAGUCUGGCCCGCUGCAGGAGAUGCUGUUCUUCACUUCCCAGAUUAGCUCAGACCUUAAAAAUCACAGCCCAGU